AGAGUUUGAUCAUGGCUCAGGACAAACGCUGGCGGCGUGCAUUAAGCAUGUAAGUCGAACGGACCCGCGCAAGCGGGUCAGUGGCAGACGGCUGAGGAAGACGGAAGAAACCUACCCACCGGAGGGGGAUAACCCCGCGAAAGCGGGGCUAAGACCGCGUACGCUCGCGCGAGGCAGGUGCGCGCGAGGAAAACGGUGAC
RNAcentral lists this ribosomal RNA (200 nucleotides) under uncultured bacterium. Its description in RNAcentral is "partial 16S ribosomal RNA". It matches the Rfam family "Bacterial small subunit ribosomal RNA", at positions 8 to 213 of the family's 1533-position model. The record is from RNAcentral.